Molecule: long non-coding RNA, 633 nt
Organism: Tribolium castaneum (red flour beetle)
Lineage: Eukaryota; Metazoa; Arthropoda; Insecta; Coleoptera; Tenebrionidae
Exons: 3
Source: RefSeq, a predicted model, not a curated record
AGCACCAACACAACGAACAAAAAUCCCAAGCUAUUUUAAAAAUUCAUGUUGGAAAAUGGUUAAAUUGUGUGAUGUUAUCCCUAACAGUUUGCUUUGCAGCACAUAUAAUUUUGAAAUAGUUAUUACAUAAAUUCUUAGGUUAGGUUUGACAUUUUGUUGACCGUCAAGUUUGGAGUUGAAAACUGCAUUAAAAAGUCUCCAAGACUUUUGGCGGAGGCAACGUCAUGUUCUUGUGCCCCAUUAGUCAAAUUGCAUAUUUGGUGACACGAUGCGGAAUCAGCCCAUAUUCAGGAAAAUUCCUGUGUGGUCAGGGUGCACUAGAUGACCAAUGGAUUCCUCAAGUCACUCGUAUGCCGGCGGAGCGUGUUGCCAAUAAUGACCGUAACCUAAGCUUCUGUAGCUGAGGUGCUCGUGUCCUGUCCUGUACCGAGGGGCCAAGAACAGUGGACUAUUUCAGUGGGGUUUCCACCGGAGUGCUACUUCUUCUUCUGGCCACACGCCAACUGGCCGUCUAUCGCGCGUUCAGAGACUAAGGACCAUUGGUUCCCAUACUUUUAGGUGAAUUCUUAUUUCUGCGAUUACGAAAUUUUCGGAUAAAAUAAUUAUAAUAAUAAUAAAUAAUAAUAAUAAUAA